This 477-nucleotide ribosomal RNA is filed under the name uncultured bacterium. RNAcentral describes it as "partial 16S ribosomal RNA". It matches the Rfam family "Bacterial small subunit ribosomal RNA", at positions 28 to 507 of the family's 1533-position model. The record is from RNAcentral.
GAUUAACGCUGGCGGCGUGCAUAACACAUGCAAGUCGAACGAUGAAACUUUAAUGAACCCUUCGGGGAGAAUUAUAGCGGAUUAGUGGCGAACGGGUGAGUAACGCGUGAGUAACCUGCCUUACACAAGGGGAUAGCCUUUGGAAACGAAGAAUAAUACCCUAUAAAACCAUAAAAGCACAUGCAAUUAUGGUCAAAGUGAUAGCGGUGUAAGAUGGACUUGCGUCUGAUUAGCUAGUUGGUGAGAUAAAAGCCCACCAAGGCAACGAUCAGUAGCCGGCUUGAGAGAGUGUACGGCCACAUUGGGACUGAGACACGGCCCAGACUCCUACGGGAGGCAGCAGUGGGGAAUUUUGCACAAUGGGGGAAACCCUGAUGCAGCGACGCCGCGUGAUUUAGAAGGCCUUCGGGUUGUAAAAAUCUUUUGUAUAGGAAGAAAAUGACAGUACUAUACGAAUAAGGUCCGGCUAAUUACGUG